CCCCAACUUCAUUCACAGAUUCUUACCUCUUGUGGACAGUGAAUUAAAUAUCCUGGUAUGAGCUAGUCAUCUGAUCUGUCAAAAUCUAGCAGAUUUCUAAUUAACCGACAAUAAAUUAACCCUUUAUGUGGCAAUGCGCCCAGAUGCACCCUAUUUUAUUAUUUUUCUCUGUCUAAUGCCAGACGAUUUUACUCGUCAGGGAGAGAGCGCUGCCACUCCAUGGUUUAAACUAUGCAAGUCAUUUCAGUAUUUACCUCAUCUUGUUUUGCUACUUGAAAAAUCUUGUAGAUUUUAGCAGAUCACAUGACCAGCUCAUACCAGGAGUUUUCCUCCACAAGAAGUAAGAACCUGGGAAGGAGAUUGAUGUUCCCUUUCUUUCAAAUAUACGUAAAUGUAGGUGAGAGGGAAGAGGACCUUACACAAGUCCCUGCCUAGCCACAUAUCAAUAAAAAGAUCCCUUACCACCCUCUAAAUAUAAAUUUUACUUUUGGUGGAGAGCAACUAGAUUAGGGUUUGUGCCAGGUUCUCUUUGUAAAAUAGACCCUGUUACUCUGGCUAUUAUAAAAAUACAGAAAAUAUAUGUUCAUGUAGGCUUCGCAAAUCUGGAUAGUGCCCGAUCAACAAUUUCUUGCGUAGCUGGGACAGGCUGCAUAGCAAUUGAAUGACAUAUGUUUUUCGGAUGCUCUGCUGACAGUUC
This is a non-coding RNA of Paramuricea clavata, 697 nucleotides long. The record is from the annotation of a GenBank genome assembly. NCBI's taxonomy places the organism in Eukaryota, Metazoa, Cnidaria, Anthozoa, Malacalcyonacea, Plexauridae.